This 476-nucleotide long non-coding RNA is filed under the name Mus spicilegus (steppe mouse). Its description in RNAcentral is "lncRNA (ENSMSIG00000028857.1)". Lineage: Eukaryota; Metazoa; Chordata; Mammalia; Rodentia; Muridae. The record is from RNAcentral.
CCUCACUCUGAAGUACAUGAACCCGUCUUUCGAAUCCUGCUUCUGGGAAAAACGUAAAUGAAGACAAAGAUGCAGAUGAGUUCUAGCCCAUACAAGAAUAGAGUUUGGAGAUGGACUUGCUUACCCGUCUAAAGGAUGUGGAAUUGGAGAAUAAGUGAGCUAAUCUUGGAAGAAUUUUGCAGCAAAACAGGACAUUUCUCCAUGGAUCCAGAGGAAGUGGUAACUGAGGGUUUGAGCUGUAUAGGGAUCUGGCUUCUUCAUGGGUAUUCCUAGUGGAUGGCCUCAAGUCUACAAUAGAGACUGCUUGGCUGUCUGCAGUGGAAAAGACCUUCAAGUUGACUGUGAGUGGGUGCGACUCAUCAAGAAAAAUAACCUCACCACCACAACAACACAUGAUGGGAGAGACCGAAACUUCUUUGGGAGAACAUAAGGGGGAAAAAAAUAAAAGAAAAAGUGAAGUGUAAAUAUUAUUAAAC